This 2852-nucleotide long non-coding RNA is filed under the name Ornithorhynchus anatinus (platypus). RNAcentral describes it as "lncRNA (ENSOANG00000038063.1)". Lineage: Eukaryota; Metazoa; Chordata; Mammalia; Monotremata; Ornithorhynchidae. The record is from RNAcentral.
GAAGAACACCUCUGCCAGCUCCGGGCUGGGGCCCGGGCACAGCCAGGCCUCCACCCACCAAGCAGGCCCUGGGGCCCUGGUAGGGGAGGUGGAGCAGUUUAGGGGCUCUAAGGUCCUGGAAAAACACCUCAUGGACGCUUCAAAGUCCACCUCGCAGUUCCGGGGGGCAAAGAACCGCCCCGAAGUUUCUGAAAACUCACCUCCCCUCCCUCUGCUGGGCUCAGGGAGGCAUGGCAACCCUGAGAGGAAUUUCAGCGGGCCCGGGGCCAAGGAUUUCAGCUGGAGAACGCUGGCAGUAGAGGUGGCAGAGGCGGCGGCUUCUGCCAAAGGAUCAGAGGAGCUUUGAGCCAAUUAGGUUUCCCAAAUUCUACCCCCCCCACCCCCGCCGUCCCGACCCUCACCCAGGGGACAGGUUACCAUCUCUUCCCCCAUAAGGGGAGGUGGAAUGCCCAGGAGACCCCUAUCCUGAGCUACUUCCUGUCGGCCCGGGGGACCAAGCUGCCUCCUGCCCAGAAAUAAUCCAUGGGGACUGGGUUUGAACUGGAUCCAGAAUGACAGUUGGUGGCAAGGAACCUGGGGGGGGGUUGGGGGGGGCGGAUGCUAUGGCAACAAAGAAGGGGUCACCUGCAUUGUUGAGGCAGUAGAAUCUCAUAAGAACCAAACCAAGUUGGGGGGUGGGCAGGGGGUCGCAGAGGGGGAGGGAGAGGAAGGAAGGGAUGGAGGGAGGAGGGCAAGGGGUUUGAAAGAGUGAAGGUUACUGUGAAUCCCAGGUGGGACAGGGAUGGGGUCCCCGAAUCCCAUGUAUCUACCCCAGUGCUUAAUACAGUGCUUGGCACAUAAUAAGUGCUUCACAAACCCAACGGUGGUUAUUAUUAUCAGGUUUCUGGAAUGGGAGCUGGGAGGAGGUUUCCGACAGGAGCGAUGGAGAUGCCAAAUCUCCUCUAUCCAGUGGCUCAUUAUUCCAAAGCUCUCUGGGACCCUGAGAAAAAAGACCCUGGAUCACUGGGAUACAGGAAUUGGCCAAACUCUGACUGCUUUUCCCAAGAAUCACUAGGUCGGUGAUGAGGCCCAGCCUAGGGCAGGGGGUUUCCCAGUCCCUACACAAGCUGGGUGUUCUGACUCCACAAGCUCCCUCUGAAGGUCAGUCAGUAGAGGAAGCCAAACCCCAGAAAGCCACAAAAGCUCUGGCUCACAAAAAGAGGAGUUUGUCCAUGUUUUUCCCUCGUCCCCUCGCUCUACAGCAGGAUCCCAGGAGAGAGAACUUGGAACGCUUACUUAUCCCUAAAUCCGGGACUCUUUGAGAUGCUUCCUCUUUGGAUGACACCUGGGCACAUCUAUAGCUUCCCCUUUCUGUGCCAAAUGGAUCAUCUCAAAAGAUCCUGGAUAAAGGGGAGCAGGGCAGGUAGUGUGGCCUAGUAGAGAGAGCACUGGGAAUGAGGAUACUGGGUUUCUAGUCCCAACUCUGCCACUCGCCUGCAGGGUGAUCUUCGGCAAGACACUUUUCUACACGUAAACUGUUAGGGCAGGGCUUGUGUCUGCCAACUCUAUUGAACUCUCUCAGGGGCUCAGUACAGCACUCUGCACACAGUAAGCACUCAGUAAAUGUCAUUGAUGGAUUGAAUGAGUCUCUGUGCUGUGCCUUAGUAUUCUCCUCUGUAAAAUGGGGGUGAUAAAAUUGCCUGCCCUCCUUCUUAGGCUGGGAGCCCCACAGUGAUCCUAAGAGGGGUCUUUGAUCCUGUUAGUUUUUAUCUGUGCUUGCACUUCAUAAGCAUUAUUCCUAUGAAGAAACAAAGUGUGAGAGAGGAGGGUGAUUAGGGGGCUAUGGGAAGUGCUGUGGGUUAAGAGAAAAGAGUCCCCAAAUCAGGCAAAGUUCUACAUUCUUGGUGCAGACCCUAAAGCCCCUCUUCCCCCAUCCUACUGCAGGUCUAUAUUCCUCAAGACUGCCAGCUCCUUGUAGGCGAGGAACAAAUCUAUGAACUCCGUGGUAUUCCCAAGUGCUCAGUACAAUGCUCUGCACAAGAAAUACCACUGAUUGAUUGACAUCAUCAGGACUCAGGACCCUCUGUGGAAGGAAAAUGAGGUGAGACUAUUGCUCCAGAAAGUGGAGGGGCAGAGAAAGAAGUCCCUUUGAUGACCAAUCAUUCCCUCAGUUACCCUCCUGUCUCCCAGCCCCGGCUCCUCCCUGAGCCAGAGGAGCUCCUGAUGAGUCUUCUCAGGGGACCCCUGAAAGUCUACCUUGAUUAAUGACUGCAUCCGCCUCCUCUCUGAGCUCCCUGCCUCCUGUCUCUUCCCUCUCUAGCCCAUAUUUUACUCUGCUGCCCCGAUCACUUUUCUACCAAAAAUGUUCAGUCUGUGUUUCCCCGCUCCUUAAUAACCUGCAGCGAUUGCCCAUCCAACUCCGCAUCAAAUGAAAACUACUCACCACUGGCUUCAGAAGCACUGAAUCACCUUGCCCCCCUACCUCACCUCACUACUCUCCUACUACAAUGCAGCCCGCACACUUCGCUCCUCUAAUGCCAACCUACUCACUGCACCUCGAUCCCUUCUACCUCGCUCUCUCGCUCGCAUCCCACCUCUGGCCUGGGAUGCCCUCCCUCUUCAUAGCAUUACUCUCUCCACCUUCAAACUCUCUCUUGGAGCAUCUCCUCCAAGAGGCCUUCCCCAACUAAACCCUCAUUUCCCCUACUCCCUCUCCCCUGAGUUGCCCCUGCACUGAAAUUUGUACUCUGCAUUUCACCGGCCCUCAGCCCCACGGCACUUGGGUACCUCUCCUUAACGUAUUUCUUUCUCCCUCUCGCUGUAAGCUCCUUUUGGGCAGGAAAGGGGGUCUACCAACUCUUUUUAUAUUGCAC